UGACCUCGGAUCAGGUAGGACUACCCGCUGAACUUAAGCAUAUCAAUAAGCGGAGGAAAAGAAACCAACAGGGAUUGCCCCAGUAACGGCGAGUGAAGCGGCAACAGCUCAGAUUUGGAAUCUGGCCCCCAGGGCCCGAGUUGUAAUCUGGAGAGGAUGCUUCUGGCGCGGCGCCUUCCGAGUUCCCUGGAACGGGACGCCGGAGAGGGUGAGAGCCCCGUACGGUUGGACGCCUAGCCUUUGUGAAGCUCCUUCGACGAGUCGAGUAGUUUGGGAAUGCUGCUCAAAAUGGGAGGUAAAUUUCUUCUAAAGCUAAAUACCGGCCAGAGACCGAUAGCGCACAAGUAGAGUGAUCGAAAGAUGAAAAGCACUUUGAAAAGAGGGUCAAACAGUACGUGAAAUUGUUGAAAGGGAAGCGCCCGUGGCCAGACUUGUGCCCCGCGGACCACCCGGCGCCCUCAGCGCCGGUGCACUCCGCGGGGCGCAGGCCAGCAUCGGUUUUCCUAGGGGGAUAAAGGCGGCGGGAACGUGGCUCCUUCGGGAGUGUUAUAGCCCGUCGUGCCAUGCCCCUGGGGGGACCGAGGACCGCGCUUCGGCAAGGAUGCUGGCGUAAUGGCCACCGGCGACCCGUCUUGAAACACGGACC
This 646-nucleotide ribosomal RNA is filed under the name Leptographium procerum. Its description in RNAcentral is "partial 28S ribosomal RNA". It matches the Rfam family "Eukaryotic large subunit ribosomal RNA", at positions 1 to 667 of the family's 3401-position model. The record is from RNAcentral. Lineage: Eukaryota; Fungi; Ascomycota; Sordariomycetes; Ophiostomatales; Ophiostomataceae.